This is a long non-coding RNA of Musca domestica (house fly), 800 nucleotides long. RefSeq lists it as uncharacterized. The transcript has 3 exons. Lineage: Eukaryota; Metazoa; Arthropoda; Insecta; Diptera; Muscidae. The record is from RefSeq and is a predicted model, not a curated record.
UACGCAAUGAGUACUCGGGUGGUUGAUAUGAGUGUGGCUAGUCGACGAUCGGAUACUCGGGGAUGACCGUCGGAGGUUGAUUGUGAAGAAGAUAGGGAAUUACGAUGUUGCGUUCGGGUGACGCUUGCGUUGACGAUUUGAAGGUAAUCGGGAACUUGUGUUCGUUGACGAUUUGAAGGUAAUCGGGAACUUGUGGUCGUCGGUUGUCGACGAUCAGGAAUUAUGAUGAUUGUGUUCGGGUGAUGCGGUCUGUUGACGAUUUGACGGUAAUCGGGAACUUGUGUUCGUUGACGAUUUGAAGGUAAUCGGGAACUUGUGGUCGUCGGUUGUCGAUGAUCAGGAAUUACGAUGUUGGUGUUCGGGUGAUGAGGGUUGUUGACGAUUAGAGGGUAAUCGGGAACAGCUGUCCAGGUCUUCGUGAGCGGAUUGACAUUCGUACUGGUUGGGCAGCUCGUUGAGGGUAGAUUCGGCAACCGAUGCGUUCGUGUUCGAUAGCUCGUUGAGGGUAGAUUCGGCAACCGAUGCGUUACGCUGUGUAGAUGGAUAGUGGCUCGUUCGGCAGCUCGGGUUUCUGUUAUUCGGGUCGGCUACAGGAGCGAGGUAACUAGCCUAGCUACGAUUCUCUAACUACGUCUACUCCACUACCAACGUUUGACUAUAAUACGGAACAGCGAGCCGAAGCUCCUGUGGAACAGCGAACCGAAGUUCCUGUGGAACAGCGAGCCGAAACUCCUGUGGAACAGCGAGCCGAAGCUCCUGUGGAACAGCGAACCGAAGUUCCUGUGGAACAGCGAACCGAA